Molecule: ribosomal RNA, 894 nt
Filed under: uncultured archaeon
Lineage: Archaea
Description: bacterial SSU rRNA
Rfam family: Archaeal small subunit ribosomal RNA
Source: RNAcentral
UUCCGGUUGAUCCUGCCGGACCCGACCGCUAUCGGGGUGGGGCUAACCCAUGGAAGUCUAGGAGCCGGGGCUAUGGCCGGCUCCGGCGGACGGCUCAGUAGCACGUGGCUAACCUACCCUCGGGAGGGGGAUAACCCCGGGAAACUGGGGAUAAACCCCCAUAGGUGCGGACACCUGGAAUGGGUCCGCGCUGAAAGGGCCACGGUACCAUGCUUACCGUGGCCGCCCGAGGAUGGGGCUGCGCCCUAUCAGGUAGUUGGCGGGGUAACGGCCCGCCAAGCCGAAGACGGGUAGGGGCGGUGAGAGCCGCGAGCCCCGAGAUCGGCACUGAGACAAGGGCCGAGGCCCUACGGGGUGCAGCAGGCGCGAAUACUCCGCAAUGCGGGCAACCGCGACGGGGCUACCCCGAGUGCCGGGCGAAGAGCCCGGCUUUUGCCCGGUCUAAAAAGCCGGGAGAAUAAGCGGGGGGCAAGUCUGGUGUCAGCCGCCGCGGUAAUACCAGCUCCGCGAGAGGUCGGGGUGUUUACUGGGCUUAAAGCGCCCGUAGCCGGCCCGGCAAGUCGCUCCUGAAAUCCCCGGGCUCAACCCGGGGGCGGGGGGCGAUACUGCCGGGCUAGGGGGCGGGAGAGGCCGCCGGUACUCCGGGGGUAGGGGCGAAAUCCUAUAAUCCCAGGAGGACCACCAGUGGCGAAGGCGCCCGGCUAGCACGCGCCCGACGGUGAGGGACGAAAGCUGGGGGAGCAAAGGGGAUUAGAUACCCCCGUAGUCCCAGCUGUAAACGAUGCGGGCUAGGUGUUGGACGGGCUUCGAGCCCGUCCAGUGCCGUAGGGAAGCCGUUAAGCCCGCCGCCUGGGGAGUACGGCCGCAAGGCUGAAACUUAAAGGAAUUGGCGGG